AAUCCCUUGUGCUCAAUAAAACCAAGAGGCUGCGGCGGCGGGCGGAGGCUCGUGCCGUCGACGUCCUGGCCCGGCGCGGCGCUCGCGCCCGCACCAUGGCGGCGCGUAGUAUAUGAGCAAUUGCACAGCACAAGUAACCAAGCGCACUGCAUCAGCCCAGCCGGGCAGAGGAGAGGAAGAGGGGGAAGCCGGGAAGAAGCUUUACCUCGAAGCAGACGAGCUUGUGGUGCUGCCGUGCCCGUGACGGAUCAGAGGAGUCGAUGUCGAUUCGGCAGCGGGCAAGGCGCGAUCGACCGGCGACGGGCUCGAUUGGUGGCAGGGGAGGUGAGAGAGUGAUCCCCUUGGAUGUGACCGCGAUAUUCAUCGAGAGAAGGCCAGAGUCUCCCUCACUGUCAUCUCACCGACAUGAAGAUCAUGCUGCCCGAUGUAUGCUGAGGUCCUCUGGGGGACAAACUCAUCCAUGUCAUGCCCAUUGCUUGAGUCCAGCUUCCCUGCCAAAGCUAGGAGGAGGCUAGUUUUUCCAGAACCAGGGGGCCCAAGCAACAAAGACAUUCUGGAGAAACUCCACAUGGUCAAAAACUGCAACCUCCAGAGAAGGCAACAAAAACGAGAUGAUUUGAAACAAACUGUCAUUGAUUCCUCACCUGCCGGGUCUUACAACUCCGCUAAUGUCAUGGAUGAUAGAGAUGGGCCUCUUCCCGUUUGAAACAAUGCGCAGGGCACUCAAAAAACCCUGAAUAACCCAAGCUAGAAUCAGAAGCAGCAUAGCUGAAACCACUCAACAUGCAUAUGUACUGAACUUUUAGGCCAUUCCAAGAAGCAUCAAGAGCUGGUCCUACUGAGAAUGCACAUACCAUGAUUUUGUUGGAGAAGUAGUUGGUGAACGUGGGGAUCCCCCGGUUGCCGACGUA
Brachypodium distachyon (stiff brome) is the source of this 911-nucleotide long non-coding RNA. RefSeq lists it as uncharacterized. The record is from RefSeq and is a predicted model, not a curated record. The transcript has 3 exons. NCBI's taxonomy places the organism in Eukaryota, Viridiplantae, Streptophyta, Magnoliopsida, Poales, Poaceae.